RNAcentral lists this ribosomal RNA (618 nucleotides) under uncultured bacterium. Its description in RNAcentral is "bacterial SSU rRNA". It matches the Rfam family "Bacterial small subunit ribosomal RNA", at positions 59 to 668 of the family's 1533-position model. The record is from RNAcentral.
AAGUCGAGCGGUAACAUUUCUAGCUUGCUAGAAGAUGACGAGCGGCGGACGGGUGAGUAAUGCUUGGGAAUAUGCCUUAUGGUGGGGGACAACAGUUGGAAACGACUGCUAAUACCGCAUAAUGUCUACGGACCAAAGGGGGGGAUCUUCGGACCUCUCGCCAUUUGAUUAGCCCAAGUGAGAUUAGCUAGUUGGUGAGGUAAUGGCUCACCAAGGCGACGAUCUCUAGCUGGUUUGAGAGGAUGAUCAGCCACACUGGGACUGAGACACGGCCCAGACUCCUACGGGAGGCAGCAGUGGGGAAUAUUGCACAAUGGGCGCAAGCCUGAUGCAGCCAUGCCGCGUGUGUGAAGAAGGCCUUCGGGUUGUAAAGCACUUUCAGUAAGGAGGAAAGGGAUGUAGUUAAUAACUGCAUUCUGUGACGUUACUUACAGAAGAAGCACCGGCUAACUUCGUGCCAGCAGCCGCGGUAAUACGAGGGGUGCAAGCGUUAAUCGGAAUUACUGGGCGUAAAGCGUUCGUAGGCGGUUGAUUAAGCAAGAUGUGAAAGCCCAGGGCUCAACCUUGGAACUGCAUUUUGAACUGGUCAACUAGAGUACUGUAGAGGGUGGUGGAAUU